GGCAGAAAUGGAGUUGAAAUGCAAAUCAAACAAGAGCACAAGCAAGCAAGCAGUAGCAUAAAAUGGAAUGAGUGCAGGUCCGUUCUUUUCAACCUCUGGGGAAAUGACCCUGCCAAUUCAGAAACCCGCAAGAGUUCCUGCCCUAGAGAGUAACUAUCAAUGGCACGCCCGGAAGCUAUGCUGUCAUUCUGAAUAGAUCUGUUUGACUUAUCACUUAAAAGUAAGUGUUUUCACACAUUAAAACAGAAAUUCAGAUUUUAAUUAACCCAGUGAAUUUGCCUGAAAAUAUGCUCCCUGGAACACAACUAAGUCGUGCUUAUGAUAAAGAUGUGGCUGGAAAGGGAGAUGUCUACCGUUUUCUGAAUAAAACAUAAGAUUUUGCCAUCGAUGCAAGUUCUGGUGUAAUCACUGCUACCAAAAUUUUUAAUUAUGAAACAGAUCCAAUAAGGUUUCUUCUGAUUGUUGAUACUGGGAGGCUCUAUAGACAUGUUUUGACCAUUAAUAUUAUUGAUGUUCCCGAAUCUCCAAACUGUACUGCUGAUCCCAAAUUUUCUUCAGGCACAGUUGGAGAGAAUGAAGAAACAAAAUCAUAUGGGAUUGCAAGAGUUGGGUCUGCUGGAUUUCUUUUUAAAGGGAGACAUGAGUAAUUUUACAACAUGGAGAAUCCAUUUGAUGAGGAGGCUGAAGACAAAUAAAGCCAUUUCCUUUGGAUUCUAUUAAUGUGACUGAGAAGAAAUCUGUUGGAGAAAUUAUAGCAAGAGUAAAAGCAACAGAUCGAGAUGAAGAUAGCAGUAUCAUUUAUUCCUUUAAGACUCAGCAGAAAAUGUUUUGUUUGGACCCCUAAGCUGAGCCUUUCAUCACGUGGCUGAGUAUACAGACCUGUUCUAAGAGUCAGAGAAGCUGAAAGAAGAUCCAGCAGUAGGUCAAGCAAUUUCAGAUUUAGCUGAAGCUAGUUCACACCAACAGUAACACAGCAGAUCAACAAAAACAUGGUCACAGGAACAAUCACUCUUCUUCAGCCUUUGAAUCUUGACAACCCAAGUAACUCCAAAAUCUACUCUUUGGAAACUGAGGCAACAGAUAAUGGGAAUAAUACCAGCAGCUAUACGUUUACAGUUUUUGUGGAGAAUGUAGAUGAUCCUAUUUCCUGUGAUCCAAGUUUUUCAACAGGAGCAGGUAUAAUACAAGUCAAUUUUAUUGAUAAAAUUCAUGAGACAAUAAUAAAAUUUAAAAAUAAAACUGGAA
Molecule: long non-coding RNA, 1245 nt
Organism: Homo sapiens (human)
Lineage: Eukaryota; Metazoa; Chordata; Mammalia; Primates; Hominidae
Source: Ensembl